This 503-nucleotide ribosomal RNA is filed under the name uncultured bacterium. RNAcentral describes it as "partial 16S ribosomal RNA". It matches the Rfam family "Bacterial small subunit ribosomal RNA", at positions 28 to 523 of the family's 1533-position model. The record is from RNAcentral.
GAUGAACGCUAGCGACAGGCUUAACACAUGCAAGUCGAGGGGCAGCAUAGAAGUAGCAAUACUUUGGUGGCGACCGGCGCACGGGUGAGUAACGCGUAUGCAACCUACCUAUCAGAGGGGAAUAACCCGGCGAAGGUCGGACUAAUACCGCAUAAAACAGGGGCACCGCAUGGUGAUAUUUGUUAAAGAAAUUCGCUGAUAGAUGGGCAUGCGUUCCAUUAGGUAGUUGGUGAGGUAACGGCUCACCAAGCCGACGAUGGAUAGGGGAACGGAGAGGUGGGUCCCCCACACUGGUAAUGAGACACGGACCAGACUCCUCCGGGAGGCAGUAGGGAGGAAUAUUGGUGAAUGGGCGGGGGCCUGAACCCGCCAAGUCGCGUGAAGGAAGAAGGAUCUAUGGUUCGUAAACUUCUUUUGCCGGGGAAUAAAGUGCGGGACGUGUCCUGUUUUGUAUGUACCCUGAGAAUAAGGAUCGGCUAACGCCGUGCCAGCCGCCGCCGCGG